GCAACCCUGGUGGCGAGUGGCGAACGGGUGAGUAAUAUAUCGGAACGUACCCAGUAGUGGGGGAUAACUAUCCGAAAGGAUAGCUAAUACCGCAUACGAUCUGUGGAUGAAAGCAGGGGAUCUUCGGACCUUGUGCUAUUGGAAUGGCCGAUAUCUGAUUAGCUAGUUGGUAGGGUAAAAGCCUACCAAGGCGACGAUCAGUAGCUGGUCUGAGAGGACGACCAGCCACACUGGAACUGAGACACGGUCCAGACUCCUACGGGAGGCAGCAGUGGGGAAUUUUGGACAAUGGGGGCAACCCUGAUCCAGCAAUGCCGCGUGAGUGAAGAAGGCCCUCGGGUUGUAAAGCUCUUUUGUCAGGGAAGAAACGGUGAUCUCUAAUAUAGAUUGCUAAUGACGGUACCUGAAGAAUAAGCACCGGCUAACUACGUGCCAGCAGCCGCGGUAAUACGUAGGGUGCAAGCGUUAAUCGGAAUUACUGGGCGUAAAGCGUGCGCAGGCGGUUUUGUAAGUCUGAUGUGAAAUCCCCGGGCUCAACCUGGGAACUGCAUUGGAGACUGCAAGGCUAGAGUGUGUCAGAGGGGGGUAGAAUUCCACGUGUAGCAGUGAAAUGCGUAGAGAUGUGGAGGAAUACCGAUGGCGAAGGCAGCCCCCUGGGAUAACACUGACGCUCAUGCACGAAAGCGUGGGGAGCAAACAGGAUUAGAUACCCUGGUAGUCCACGCCCUAAACGAUGUCUA
RNAcentral lists this ribosomal RNA (740 nucleotides) under uncultured bacterium. RNAcentral describes it as "bacterial SSU rRNA". It matches the Rfam family "Bacterial small subunit ribosomal RNA", at positions 79 to 815 of the family's 1533-position model. The record is from RNAcentral.